RNAcentral lists this ribosomal RNA (496 nucleotides) under uncultured bacterium. RNAcentral describes it as "partial 16S ribosomal RNA". It matches the Rfam family "Bacterial small subunit ribosomal RNA", at positions 28 to 506 of the family's 1533-position model. The record is from RNAcentral.
GAUGAACGCUGGCGGCGUGCCUAAUACAUGCAAGUCGAGCGAACAGAUGAGGAGCUUGCUCCUCUGACGUUAGCGGCGGACGGGUGAGUAACACGUGGAUAACCUACCUAUAAGACUGGGAUAACUUCGGGAAACCGGAGCUAAUACCGGAUAAUAUAUUGAACCGCAUGGUUCAAUAGUGAAAGACGGUUUUGCUGUCACUUAUAGAUGGAUCCGCGCCGCAUUAGCUAGUUGGUAAGGUAACGGCUUACCAAGGCAACGAUGCGUAGCCGACCUGAGAGGGUGAUCGGCCACACUGGAACUGAGACACGGUCCAGACUCCUACGGGAGGCAGCAGUAGGGAAUCUUCCGCAAUAGGCGAAAGCUUGACGGAGCAACGCCGCGUGAGUGAUGAAGGUCUUCGGAUCGUAAAACUCUGUUAUUAGGGAAGAACAAAUGUGUAAGUAACUAUGCACGUCUUGACGGUACCUAAUCAGAAAGCCACGGCUAACUACGU